GACGAACGCUGGCGGCGUGCUUAACACAUGCAAGUCGAACGGAAAGGCCCUGCUUUUGUGGGGUGCUCGAGUGGCGAACGGGUGAGUAACACGUGAGUAACCUGCCCUUGACUUUGGGAUAACUUCAGGAAACUGGGGCUAAUACCGUAUAGGAGCUCCUGCUGCAUGGUGGGGGUGGGAAAGUUUCGGCGGUUGGGGAUGGACUCGCGGCUUAUCAGCUUGUUGGUGGGGUAGUGGCUUACCAAGGCUUUGACGGGUAGCCGGCCUGAGAGGGUGACCGGCCACAUUGGGACUGAGAUACGGCGCAGACUCCUACGAGAGGCAGCAGUGGGGAAUAUUGCACAAUGGGCGGAAGCCUGAUGCAGCAAAGCCGCGUGCGGGAUGACGGCCUUCGGGUUGUAAACCGCCUUCGCCUGUGACGAAGCGUGAGUGACGGUAAUGGGUAAAGAAGCACCGGCUAACUACGUG
Molecule: ribosomal RNA, 468 nt
Filed under: uncultured bacterium
Lineage: Bacteria
Description: partial 16S ribosomal RNA
Rfam family: Bacterial small subunit ribosomal RNA
Source: RNAcentral